CAGAGCGAUAAUAUUUGGUGGCAACAGUUUGAAAAGUGGUUCGAACUUUUAAAGUUUUCCACGCAAAAUGUCAAAACGAAAUUAAUAGCUCUUCUGGGCUAACUCCUUUUGAGUUAAUGAAAAAAGUGUCUGAUAGCCACUAAUUCUAUUAAAUCUUGAUGUGCAAUACUCCAUGGAUACCGGAAGGCAAGAAGGUCAUGGAGGAAAUAGAUUGCUUAUAUCCGCAACUUUAAUUACACGUGCAUAAGAAAUUAAUCGCGUUGAUGUUACCCAAAUAUAAAGAAGCAUACAGAAUCUUUUCUGACUAUUUUAUUCACUCAUGGAGUCUUGGAUGAAAAUGUGGCUUCCUAUCGUAACCGCUCUAGUUGUCACUUCUGCAGGAGCUCUAUAACAGUAUAGUUAUUGUCAGAAGAGUGCUUCUAGCACAUGUGAAGCUUAUAAACUUUCUGAGCUUCCAGAAAACGAGAAGGAGUUCGAUGAGAGCUGUCCUAUUGUCCUGGAACAGUUUAACUGCAUGCAGGAACACACAAUAGAAUGUAAAUCCUUCUCGCUUGGAGAUAUUACAACAUAUCUUGAGGUUCUGGAAGAUAUCUGCCGCAAAGGUUCCAGCCUUCAUGAAGGAUUUUCCUGAUCAAUAGCUCUUGCAAGGAAUAUUGGAUGCAUCAAGGAACGUGUAAGGGAGGGAUGCUUAAAAGGAAAAAUAAGAAGAGUGGCUCGUUCAUACAGAAAUUCCCAUUAUACUCCAGGUAACGAGCAUUUUACCGAAGAGCAGUGGUCAAAACUCAACUGCAUGCUCUACGCUUAUGAAGUUACUUGUGCCGCUGACGCUGCUUCACCAUGUGGCAAUACAGUCAAGAAUGCCAUUAUAGAAGUGGCUCGUCGUGUUGAUUAUCUGCGCCAGAUGGGAGGAUGCACCAGAAGUGUGACAGCAGAGAUCAUAAAAGAUAUCCCAAAUAUGCAUAUCAGCCCUAAGCAAGAACUGCUACUCGAAGAAUUACUAUUGGAAAUCUGAAACAGCAAAUGGAUGAGGCCCAUACUGGAGCAAACUCAUUUUUAAUCCAUUAAUUAAUAUUAGAGUACAUAUGAGAAUAGAAUUAAGUCAAAGAGGUUACAUUUUGUAACCACAUUUUGGUUGAUGUAUAUUAAAUAUUUCUUCCUAUUUCAUUAAAGCAAGAAUGUCUGUUAAAUUAAAUAAUCCCUCAAAAGCGAAUCUUACAUCAAAAGAUAGUCACCAUUUAUUGGUGGCUACUACCUAAUCCAUAUGUGAGAACUCUACAUUUCCCGAAAAUUCCGUCUCUUGUUAAGGGUGAAAGGAACAAUGCUAAAACAGUUAAGCUUCACAACACAUUGGCACAUUGGAAGCAAAGUGUUGCUCCUCCAAAAUCAGGAAUUGCAUCGUUUCUUCGAUGCUUAAGAUUUAGUGAAAUACUUUAUAUAUAUAUACAUAUAUCAAUCGCAUAUAUAUAUGAAUAUUUUUAUUUUGCAUAUAUAUGUAUAUGAAUAUUUUUAUUUUGUAUAUAUAUAUAUAUA
Molecule: unclassified non-coding RNA, 1530 nt
Organism: Stegodyphus dumicola
Lineage: Eukaryota; Metazoa; Arthropoda; Arachnida; Araneae; Eresidae
Source: RefSeq, a predicted model, not a curated record